GGGGAUUUAGCUCAGUGGCAUAAGCACUUGCCUUGCAAGCAAGUGGUCCUGAGUUUGAUCCCUA
Molecule: transfer RNA, 64 nt
Filed under: Cavia porcellus (domestic guinea pig)
Lineage: Eukaryota; Metazoa; Chordata; Mammalia; Rodentia; Caviidae
Rfam family: tRNA
About the family: Transfer RNA (tRNA) molecules are approximately 80 nucleotides in length. Their secondary structure includes four short double-helical elements and three loops (D, anti-codon, and T loops). Further hydrogen bonds mediate the characteristic L-shaped molecular structure. tRNAs have two regions of fundamental functional importance: the anti-codon, which is responsible for specific mRNA codon recognition, and the 3' end, to which the tRNAs corresponding amino acid is attached (by aminoacyl-tRNA synthetases). tRNAs cope with the degeneracy of the genetic code in two manners: having more than one tRNA (with a specific anti-codon) for a particular amino acid; and 'wobble' base-pairing, i.e. permitting non-standard base-pairing at the 3rd anti-codon position.
Source: Rfam by way of RNAcentral